AUAAAUAAUUUAUUUGAAUCAAAAAAAAACAAUGCUUUAGGUGAAUACCUAAGGACUCAAAGAUGAUGAAGGGCGUGUAAACCUGCGAUAAUUUCUAGGAAAUUGGAAAGAAAUAGUGAUCUAGAAGUUCCCGAAUAGAGCAAUCUUUAAAACUACUGAAAAAUUCAUAAAUCAGUAAGAAAUAACUUAGUGAACUGAAACAUCUUAGUAACUAAAGGAAAAAAAAGCAAAUGCGAUUUUCUUAGUAGCGGUGAGCGAAACGGAAUUAGUCUAAACUGAACUAAAAAUUCAGGGUUGUGGGAAGUUUAAAUUAAAAAGAAAGUUUAAGCAGCUAAAAUCUGCACCAAAGAUGGUGAAAGUCCAGUUUUUUUUUCUUAAAAGAACAGUAUCCCAAGUAGCUUGGGACACGUGAAAUCCCUUGUGAAUCAACGAGGACCACCUCGUAAGACUAAAUACUCUUGAGUCACUGAUAGUGAAAAAGUACCGUGAGGGAAAGGUGAAAAAGAACCCCUGUCGGGGAUUGAAAUAGAUUAUAAAACCUAAAGCAGUCAAUCUGUGGGAGAUAAAAAUAUUGACCGCAUGCCUGUUGAAGAAUGAGCCGGCGACUUAGAAUUUUUGGCAGGGUUAAAGAAAUUUUCUGUAGCCAAAGUGAAAACAAGUCUAAAAAGGCGUUGAUAAUGUCAUGAAUUCUAGACCCGAACCCGAGUGAUCUAACCAUGACCAGGAAGAAACUAAGGUAAAACUUAGUGGAUGUCCGAACCGACCGAUGUUACAAAAUCGACGGAUGAGUUGUGGUUAGCGGUGAAAUGCUAAUCGAACUCGGAGCUAGCUGGUUCUCCCCGAAAUGCGUUUAGGCGCAGCAAUUGUCGAAGCACUAUUAAGAGGUAGAGCACUGUUUCGGUACAGGCCAGUUAAACGGUACUAAACUGUCACAAACUCCAAAUGCUUAAUAAAAGUUUGCCGACAAUAAGUGAGACUUUGGGGGAUAAGCUCCAAAGUCAAAAGGGAAACAGCCCAGAUCAUCAGCUAAGGCCCCUAAAUAGUCGCUAAGUGUUUAAGGAAGUUUCAACGCAUAAACAGCCAGAAGGUUCGCUUAGAAGCAGCUAUCCUUAAAAGAGUGCGUAAUAGCUCACUGGUGAAUUUUUAUAGCGUAGAUGCACCGAAAAUGUACGGGACUAAGCGAUUUGCCGAAGCUAUGAGAGACUUUAUAAAAAAUGAGUCUCGGUAGGGGAGCGUUCUGUUUUUAGAUAUGAAGACUAAUUGAAAAAGAGGUUCGAUUAAACAGAAGUGAGAAUGUCGGCUUGAGUAACGUAAACAUUGGUGAGAAUCCAAUGCCCCGAAAACCUAAGGUUUCCUUUACAAGGUUCGUCCAUAGAGGGUUAGUCAGGACCUAAGAUAAGGCUGAAAAGCGUAGUCGAUGGAAAACAGGCAAAUAUUCCUGUACUUAUUUAAAUUUGGUGACAAAUGACGAAGGAGGCAAGAUCUAAAAAAUUAUGAAUGGUUGUAAUAAAAAUGUUCAACAUACGGUUAAAAAAAAAAAAUUUUAACUAUUUAGUGUGAAGACAUGAGCUAACAGUUUCGGUUUUUUUUAGGUUAAGAUUGUUAAAAAGAGUUUUGUCAAACUUCCAAGAAAAGUUUGCGACACCGUAAAAUUUAAAUAACCUGUACCUUAAACCAACACAGGUAGGUGGGUUGAGUAUACUCAGGGGCGCGAGAAAACUCUCUCUAAGGAACUCGGCAAAAUAGCCCCGUAACUUCGGGAGAAGGGGUACCUCUAAAAACAGAGGUCGCAGUGAAAUGAUUCUUUGAACUGUUUAUCAAAAACACAAGUUUCCGCAAAGUCGUAAGACAAUGUAUGGGAGCUGACGCCUGCCCAGUGCCGGAAGGUUAAAGGAAUCGGUUAAAUGCUGAUAACUGAAGCCCCGGUGAACGGCGGCCUUAACUCUGAAGGUCCUAAGGUGAAGAAAAGCUGCCUUAGUAAAACUUAACUAUAUGCUGGAAUAUUCUAAUGAAGAUGUUCUACUUAUUUUUGAAUUUAAAUAUAUACGAAGUCUAGAAUUAAUAGUAAGUAAUAAUGAACAGAAAAUCAGGACAAUCAGCAGGAAAGAUUUUAUCUAAUUUACUCGAUAAAAAAUCCUCAGAGACUAUACGUUAGGGAGAAGAUUUUUAUAUAAUAUUCAAUUUUCUUAAGAUAGAGUCCUUUAUUAAGAGCGAAAUUCCUUGUCACGUAAGUUGUGACCCGCACGAAAGGCGUAAUCAAAAGAGUACUGUCUCGGAGAGAGACUCGGUGAACCUAAAAAGUAACGGAGGUUUACAAAGGUUUCCUCAAACUGGACGGAAAUCAGUUUUUGAGUAUAAAGACAAAAGGAAGCUUGACUGCAAGACUUAUAAGUCGAGCAGAGGCGAAAGCCGGUCUUAUUGAUCCGACGGUAUACCCUGUGGAAGGGCCGUCGCACAAAAGAUAAAAGUUACUCCGGGGAUGGAUAAUUAUAUGGUCUAAACUCAUAAGCAAUUAUGAGUGAGAGCAAUUUACGAUGUCGACUUUUCGCAACCUGGGGCGGUAGUACGUCCCAAGGGUUGGGCUGUUCGCCCAUUAAAGCGGAACACGAGUUGGGUUCAGAACGUCGUGAGACAGUUUGGUCCAUAUCUGCUAUUAGCGAUAGAAUAUUGAGAGGAUUUUUCCAUAAUACGAGAGGACUUGGAAAAACAUACCACUGGUGUACCAGUUCUUACACCUAUAGGAAACGCUGGGUAGCUAUGUAUGGAGAAGAGUACCGCUGAAGGCAUCUAAGUGGGAAGCUCACCUCAAGAUGAAUAUUCUCUAUAAAGACUCCGGUAAGAUCAGCCGGUUGAUAGGUUUCCAGUGUAAGAUUUGCAAAAAUUUUAGCUAAGAAAUACUAAUGAGCGAUUGUUUUUGAUUCAAUAUUU
RNAcentral lists this ribosomal RNA (2928 nucleotides) under Glaukea argentea. RNAcentral's name for it is "large subunit ribosomal RNA". It matches the Rfam family "Bacterial large subunit ribosomal RNA". The record is from RNAcentral. Lineage: Eukaryota; Viridiplantae; Chlorophyta; Ulvophyceae; Bryopsidales; Halimedaceae.